RNAcentral lists this transfer RNA (65 nucleotides) under Abrus yunshanensis. RNAcentral describes it as "tRNA-Ile". Lineage: Eukaryota; Metazoa; Arthropoda; Insecta; Hemiptera; Cicadellidae. The record is from RNAcentral.
AAUAAGGUGCCUGAUUAAAGGGUUAUUUUGAUAGAAUAAAUCAAGUAGAAAAAUUACUCUUAUUG